GCGUAAGCGCGCGCAGGCGGUCUUUUAGUCUGAUGUGAAAGCCCACGGCUCAACCGUGGAGGGUCAUUGGAAACUGGAGGACUUGAGUGCAGAAGAGGAGAGUGGAAUUCCACGUGUAGCGGUGAAAUGCGUAGAUAUGUGGAGGAACACCAGUGGCGAAGGCGGCUCUCUGGUCUGUAACUGACGCUGAGGCGCGAAAGCGUGGGGAGCAAAACAGGGAUUAGAUACCCUGGUAGUCCACGCCGUAAAACGAUGAGUGCUAGGUGUUGGGGGGUUCCACCCUCAGUGCUGAAGUUAACACAUUAAGCACUCCGCCUGGGGAGUACGACCGCAAGGUUGAAACUCAAAGGAAUUGACGGGGGCCCGCACAAGCAGUGGAGCAUGUGGUUUAAUUCGAAGCAACGCGAAGAACCUUACCAGGUCUUGACAUCCUCUGACAAUCCUGGAGACAGGACGUUCCCCUUCGGGGGACAGAGUGACAGGUGGUGCAUGGUUGUCGUCAGCUCGUGUCGUGAGAUGUUGGGUUAAGUCCCGCAACGAGCGCAACCCUUGAUCUUAGUUGCCAGCAUUCAGUUGGGCACUCUAAGGUGACUGCCGGUGACAAACCGGAGGAAGGUGGGGAUGACGUCAAAUCAUCAUGCCCCUUAUGACCCUGGGCUACACACGUGCUACAAUGGACGGUACAAAGGGCAGCGACACCGCGAGGUGAAGCAAAUCCCAUAAAGCCGUUCUCAGUUCGGAUUGCAGGCUGCAACUCGCCUGCAUGAAGCCGGAAUUGCUAGUAAUCGCGGAUCAGCAUGCCGCGGUGAAUACGUUCCCGGGCCUUGUACACACCGCCCGUCACACCACGAGAGUUUGUAACACCCGAAGUCGGUGGGGUAACCUUAUGAGC
This 892-nucleotide ribosomal RNA is filed under the name Bacillus baekryungensis. RNAcentral's name for it is "bacterial SSU rRNA". It matches the Rfam family "Bacterial small subunit ribosomal RNA", at positions 558 to 1449 of the family's 1533-position model. Lineage: Bacteria; Bacillati; Bacillota; Bacilli; Caryophanales; Bacillaceae. The record is from RNAcentral.